ACCGUCUCCGCGGCGGUGGACGUGAGCGUGACAGUGACCAGCCUCAACUUCAGCAAGGAGGUGGCGAACUUCUCCACCGAGGCCUUCAAGAGGUUCAACCACACCUUCAGCCGGCAGAUGGCGCAGGUGUACCAGGGCGUCCCGGGGUACCGAGGUGUGCGCAUCAGGAAGCUCACGAGGGGCAGCAUCGUGGUGGACUAUGACGUCAUCCUGAGCGUGCCCUACGCGCCGGGACUCCAGCUGGAGGAGCUGAGGGGCAGCGUGAUGGCGGCCAGCGAGACCGGGACCAGGCACGACCCCACCGUCAACUGCUCGGGUACAGCCACGGGGCGCGGGGCGCGGGCACAGCACAGCACAGCACACAGCACACAGCACAGCACAGCACACAGCACAGCACAGCACAGCACACAGCACACAGCACAGCACAGCACACAGCACAGCACAGCACACAGCACAGCACACAGCACAGCACAGCACAGCACAGCACAGCACACAGCACAGCACAGCACAGCACAGCACACAGCACAGCACACAGCACAGCACACAGCACACAGCACACAGCACAGCACAGCACACAGCACAGCACAGCACACAGCACAGCACAGCACAC
This 610-nucleotide long non-coding RNA is filed under the name Meriones unguiculatus (Mongolian gerbil). RNAcentral describes it as "lncRNA (ENSMUGG00000005757.1)". Lineage: Eukaryota; Metazoa; Chordata; Mammalia; Rodentia; Muridae. The record is from RNAcentral.